RNAcentral lists this small RNA (127 nucleotides) under Marmota monax (woodchuck). The record is from RNAcentral. Lineage: Eukaryota; Metazoa; Chordata; Mammalia; Rodentia; Sciuridae.
GUUGGGCCUGGUGGUGCAUACCUGUAAUCCCAGCAGCUCAGGAGACUGAGACAGGAGGAUCACAAAUUCAAAGUCAGCCUCAGCAACUUAGUGAGAUCCUAUGGAACAUAGGGAGACCCUGACUCAA